Molecule: long non-coding RNA, 880 nt
Organism: Triticum aestivum (bread wheat)
Lineage: Eukaryota; Viridiplantae; Streptophyta; Magnoliopsida; Poales; Poaceae
Exons: 2
Source: RefSeq, a predicted model, not a curated record
CUGGCGGGCACGCCAGGCCUCCUGUGCCCGGGCAGGGCGGCCCCAAGCCUGGUACUCCUUCGCCAAACCAGGGGAACAACAAGCGGCGCCGCUACACCAACAACGGCGGCUAUCAAGGCGCCGCCAACUCGCCGCCGCCCUGGACUGGGCACGUGUACGCAUACCGCGUCUCGCUACCGCCUCCGCCUCGUCCGCAGGGGAUCCUCGGGCCGCGCCCAGCUCAGGCCUACACGGCCUACACGCCGCUCCAGUACGGCGGUGUGCCGUACGGACCGACGGGCUAUGGGGGGGCGUCGUAUGGUUCGGUACCGUACCCGGCCGCCCCUCUGAUGCAGCAGUCGCCGCCCCUUCUGGCUGCACCUCCGCAGCCGCAGCAGCACCACACCACGUAGGCUUCGGAUGGAGUGGAUCAGGCGGCGCUGAUGGGGGCUCUCCACAACCCGACGCUGCAGAACUCCACCAACGGGUGGAUCAUGGACUCAGGCGCUUCUUCUCACAUUACCUCGGACCCAGGAUUACAUCACCAAGGCGGCGCUGCACCGAUGCAACAGUAGCAGCGAGCUCUACCCAAUCUUCGCCAACAACGCUUCGAGUGACGCCGCCGUUGCCUUCAGCGCCACCGUCUCCCGGCUCACGGAUCUGUGGCAUCGCCGGCUCGGCCACCCCGGCGCCCAUACUUUUUCCAAUAAAGGGUUUCCUUCAUGUAAUAAAAACUCUGCUUGUGUACCACUUUGUCAUGCCUGCCAGUUGGGCAAGCACGUUCGUUUGCCUUUUUAUCCAUCACGUAGCUCUACUAGUGCUGCUUUCGAAAUAAUGCAUUGUGAUCUCUGGACAGCUCCCAUCUCCAGUGUUUCUGGCAACAAAUACUACCUUAUCAUCA